UGGGGAAUAUUGGACAAUGGGCGCAAGCCUGAUCCAGCCAUACCGCGUGGGUGAAGAAGGCCUUCGGGUUGUAAAGCCCUUUUGUUGGGAAAGAAAAGCAGCGGGCUAAUACCUUGCUGUUCUGACGGUACCCAAAGAAUAAGCACCGGCUAACUUCGUGCCAGCAGCCGCGGUAAUACGAAGGGUGCAAGCGUUACUCGGAAUUACUGGGCGUAAAGCGUGCGUAGGUGGUUGUUUAAGUCUGUUGUGAAAGCCCUGGGCUCAACCUGGGAACUGCAGUGGAAACUGGAUGACUAGAGUGUGGUAGAGGGUAGCGGAAUUCCCGGUGUAGCAGUGAAAUGCGUAGAGAUCGGGAGGAACAUCCAUGGCGAAGGCAGCUACCUGGACCAACACUGACACUGAGGCACGAAAGCGUGGGGAGCAAACA
Molecule: ribosomal RNA, 427 nt
Filed under: uncultured Stenotrophomonas sp.
Lineage: Bacteria; Pseudomonadati; Pseudomonadota; Gammaproteobacteria; Lysobacterales; Lysobacteraceae
Description: bacterial SSU rRNA
Rfam family: Bacterial small subunit ribosomal RNA
Source: RNAcentral